GUGUUCCCCCGGGAGCUCAUGUAUUAAAAUUGGAACAAUGCAGAGAUCAGCAUGGCCCCCACACAAGUGGUGGGAGAAUCUGUAUCCUUUUUU
Small nuclear RNA from Ursus americanus (American black bear), 93 nucleotides. Lineage: Eukaryota; Metazoa; Chordata; Mammalia; Carnivora; Ursidae. The record is from Ensembl.